UACGAAGGGGGCUAGCGUUGCUCGGAAUCACUGGGCGUAAAGCGCACGUAGGCGGACUUUUAAGUCAGGGGUGAAAUCCUGGAGCUCAACUCCAGAACUGCCUUUGAUACUGGAAGUCUUGAGUUCGAGAGAGGUGAGUGGAACUGACGAGUGUAGAGGUGAAAUUCGUAGAUAUUCGCAAGAACACCAGUGGCGAAGGCGGCUCACUGGCUCGGAUAACUGACGCUGAGGUGCGAAAGCGUGGGGAGCAAACAGG
RNAcentral lists this ribosomal RNA (256 nucleotides) under uncultured bacterium. RNAcentral's name for it is "partial 16S ribosomal RNA". It matches the Rfam family "Bacterial small subunit ribosomal RNA", at positions 524 to 776 of the family's 1533-position model. The record is from RNAcentral.